CCAUGUAGAUUGUUUAAAAGGUGGCAUUGCCCAGCAUCUUUAACAGAAGGGAACUAUCCUCCCUGGCUGUGGUUCUCCAGGAAGGCACUGAUGUCUCUUCCUCAGAAACAAGGGCUGUCACACCACAGUGUUGCUGAACCAGCAUUUUCCAGCCAUACAAAAAGCCCCGUGUGGGACAGCCCCAAACACUGCAAUGUGAAAAAUGCACUGUUACCCCAGAGUCUGAUGAAAGAGAUGUGUGGACAGAUUUUCCCUGGACAAAUGCUAAGCAAUGAGAUGAGGGUGAAAGUACAAAGGUGUAUUGGCUGAAGUUUUUUGAGAACUGGCCCUGUAAGGGAAAUUGUUGAUCACAGCCUGAAGCUCUGAUUAACCAUCUGAGGCAAGCAAUGGGUCAGCUGCAGGAGCACAGGUGAAGGUAAUUCAGCUGUGCUCCUCGAAGGGGUGGAACUUGACUCCACCUUUCCCUAAUCCCACUUAAGGGCUGACCACCACUAAGGUAGCAUCUAUUUCUGGAGAUUGCUCCUUUGUGUAGUUUUUGUGGUGAACCUCAACAUUUGUGAGUAUCUACCUUGAUUGAAAGCCUCAGCAAUGAGAUACUUUCCUGCAGCUGUGCCAGCAUGAUGGCUACACCUCCCGUUUCAUGCAGUGCAGUUAUUCACUUAAAAGAUGCAGAAUACUCCACUUUGACAGGUGCUUCCUCCUCCACCAAGCCCUGGACCAGGCUUUGUUAGCUGUUACAAGGCUGGAUGUGUGCAGAGCAUGGGGUGAAUGGUUGCUUCCUCCACAGCUCCAAGCUUGGAGCCUUGGGGCUGCCCUAGGAGCCAGCCCCAGGCUGGGAGUUCUGGCAGGGAAGAGCUGCAGAGUCUGGUUCCAAAUGCCGCACCUGUCACCAUGCCAGGGUACGACUGCACCCCUCUGCACCUUCUGCUUCUCAAGAUGAAGUGACCCAAGCCCUGGGCUUUCCAUCCCACAUCCAUCUCACAGAAGUCCGUUGCAACUCUUGUCACAAGCAAGGGGCGCCACUGCAGUGCACGGUACUCCAAGUGAAGUCUCAACAUGAGCUUCUACAAAACCGAGUGCUGCUUUCGCUCCACUGGAGGCAUGUCAUCGGGGAUAGAUAGCCUCAGACAGGAUUUGCCUUUCAUGGUUGGAUCACGCUUGUGACAGUAUUCAUCCUGACUGGCUCAGUGACCCAGUGCUUUCUCCACACUUUCAUUUCCAGCUGAGAGAUUACCAGGUUUUAGUGCAAAUUCUUCACAUUAGUCUUCGAAUUAUCUUGUCCUUUAUUUCACUGAAGUUUAUUGCACUGUCAUCCUCUUUGGGACUGUUGGUUUUUCUGCCUGACAUCUUCAUCCUCUGCCACACAGGAGAUGCUUCCCACUUUCAUGUCACCAGAAAAAUUUCAAAGAAACCAUUAUUUUUAAGAAACAACUUAGUGUUUCUAUGGUUCACUGUGUUUUUUUUUCUGUGUUAGUUGAUAAUUUAUUUAAUUAGAUAGUUCCUAUUUUUUUUAAGAAGAGCAUAGUUGUUUUUUUUUUCUUUAUUUUGCUCUUUGAAGAGUGAGGGUUGCUUUAUAUCUGAGGCUAAUUUGGAUCUAUACGGCAGAUGUUUCACCUCCCUGUUUUCAUCAGUAUUAGCACUGUCCAAUGCUCUCAUCUCCUGUAGUUCCAUUACAGACUGUUUAUUUGGUGUGUUUUUUCUCCUAUUAUUUUUAUAUUAGAUCUCCAGUCAUGGAUAUCAAAGAAGUUGCUUCUAUCCCCUUCAUUUCCAAGUUAAAAUUCUUAAGCUUAAAUUCUCUGUGAUUUAAAACAGCUUCAAGCCAUGAGGCACAGUGUUGCCAGCAGAUAGGCAGCUUUCUAUUUUUGCACAGAUACACAGAAUCAACCACUCAGUGUAUUUGCACGAGUGAAAGAGUUGAAAAUGCAGUUAAGUGGUGCAUUUCUUUUUUAAAGUCAGGACAUGUGCUAAAGGAAGACUGAAAUCGGUACCUUUUACCUGUGUGCACUUGUGGAAAAAAAGACCACAAUAUCAUGUUUAAUUUACCCACAGAUUCAAGCAACGCUCAGUCCUGGAGAGGCUUUUAUACAGUAGGAUAAAGGGGUCUGUGACGACUCAAUGAGAGAGGAUCAGUAUUUGCAAUGCUUAUACAACCCCCCAAAAAUGCCUUUGGGUUUUUCAGGGAGCCAAACUCCCAUGACAUUCUGGGGUUGCCCAUCAAUGGCAGUUGGAAUCAGGUGGGUGGCUAAGAGAAAGUGGUUGGUGUUGGUGAGGGUAUCAUGUUCCGUGCCUACACGUGCCCAGGACCGAGAGGUUCCCACCAAGGGAAGCAGAAUAGCACCUUGUGCUCUGCUAUUUGCCAGGAACAGCUCUCAAGCUAUUGCAUUACUGUUGAGAGAAUAGAAAGGAUAUGCGAGAUGGCCCACAAGCUCUCAUGCUGCGUUGGAGACACAACUGCUAUUUGUCUGUAGAUGCAUCCACUAUUACUCUUCAGCUGACAUUCUUGAUUUGUGGCCCUUAAUAUCUCCAAAGUAAUGCUCUUGCUAAUUGUAGUCAUGCUAUUGAUUUUCAUAGAGGCAUUUUAUUCCAUAUGAAUCCAUUGCAUUCAAACCAAUUAAUCAUGCAUCACUAACUUAACUGCAGUGAUGGUUUUAAUGUGAAUAUUCAAGUAGUGCUUCUCUUCAGGGUUUGUCAACAGCUUCCAUCUGAAGACAAUUUCAAAGCCUUAAGAAACAGCUUAAUAUAGUUAUUGGCUGUUCACCAGUUCAUAAGACCCUGCCCCAGCUGCCUCAUAUAUUUUAUGCAGAACAAAAUCUUCUAAUUAACUAGAUGAAAGAAAAGAAUUAACAUACCACCUAGGGGAUAGAACAUACAUGAUUAUUAAGCAUUAUAAAAAAAUGAAAAAGGCAUACCCAGCUCAAAAAAGGGGAUUAAAAUCAAGCCAAGCAGGGGGAGAAAGCCUGCUUUACACUGCAAUGGGGAAAUUAAAGAUGAAGGGUGCAGGCCAGCUGUUUUCUGCAAAAGACACUGGAACGAUUUGGUGGAUUUAAGGCAUUUCGGAGAUUUUGGAAACAACAGUGUGUGCUGUGUGAGUUCCUCUGACCAUUUAUGUUUCUCCCCCUUUGAGGACUUGGCUUGGGAGGUUAUCUCGGACAUCCUGCAUGCAAUACUGCAGUGCAGUAGUCCUUCCCUCUUGCCCUCCCUGACCCUGCCCAGGCCUCAUGGGAUCUCAGGGCAUGUGACCUACCCCAACUUUUCCCUUCCUUACUGUCAGUUCUGGUAUGGGCUGAACCUUUGAGAAAUCUCAUAACUUCUCUAUGUCUACAGACUUCAGAUGCUUCAGCAAUAAAGCUCACUGCUGCAUCAGUGAUAGCCAAGUUGUUAUCACGCCCACCCACCUACUUCUCCCAAGACGUUUGAACAGGCAGGGAAAAGAAGGAUGAUGGAUGGAGCCAGAGCAGUCAUUGCAUCCAGCCACUCCAAAUACAGACACUAUUACAGAAGUGCUGAAUAGGGACUGAGGGUAAGAGGUACUUGCAUUCCAUGUACAUCAUGACAAAUUUUAUGAUAUAGAUAACAGGGCUACUUGGGGUUGAUCCAUCCCACUUUCUCUGACAUCCUUUUUUUCACCUGUAGAAACAGUGAUGUCCACUAGGACAUUUUUGUGCUCAUUCUGAAGUAAGUGCAAGUUUUUUACUGCAUGAAGAAAGGUGUUUGGUCUCUAGUGGACGAUAGUCACAUUAUGGGUUUGCACUUCCACAAAGCUAUUCGAACACAUGAGGGAAUAAUUUGUCGCCUCAAUAUCAGCAGCCUAAUUAGAAUUAGUCCUAACAAUGGAACGUACUCACUUAGUCACACACCUAUGGAAUACAGACCUUAAACAUACUAGCAUAAGACAGGAGGUUAGGGUGUUCAUUUCAGACCAUACGAGACCAACCUGAAUCAUAUGAAAAGCCUUGGAAUAAUUUUUGAAGAAGAAAUAAUGAAAGGUGUGAGGAUGGAUGGAAAAUUAAGGCAGGAUACCUGUCAGAUGAGCUUUGUAUCUUUCUUGGAAAUCAUAAUUGAUAUUUUUAACUGUUCUCAUUAUGCAUUGCUAAGAUCAAACUCUCAUUCAUCUAGAUGUCUGUAAAACAUCUGCUAUACAGCCACACAGGAAAUUAUUCUGAGAAGAAUGGGUAUAAGCCAUGUAGUGUGAGUAGGGAUGCUUGAAGGGAGAACGUCAACAGGAUGUACUGAAACGAGCAGUGUGAGACUGGAAGGGGACAGCAAGAUUCUUGGGGACUGGAUCUAGUAUAGUGUUGUUGCUAUUAUCAGUGUAAAAAGUGGAUGAGAGCUAAUGAGAUUUGCCAAGCACGCAGUCCUCAAUAGAGAGGAGACAGUUUGUUAUAUAGAGAGAUUACCCCAGGUACAGGAGGAUUUGGAAAGGAGGAGAGCUGUAACACACAAGGCCAUGCACUUCAGCAGAAAUAAUAAAUGUUGCUAUAAAGCUGAGAUUCAUUCAGCUGGCAAAAAAAAAAAAAAAAAAAGCCACCAAAAUAAUGUGUGACUAUAUCUGCAUGUGUACUUCAUGGAAUCACAGAAUGGCUGAGAUGGGAAGGGACCUCUGGUGGUUCAACCCCUGCUUAAUGUAGAACAUCCAUAGCAGGGUGCCCACGGUCAAAUGUAGAUAUUCACUCAUGCAAAUGCAUGUGCUCUUAGCCUUGCAGACAAGGAAGCCAAGGGAAAUGUUGUGACUGAGAACACUGACUGUCACUGGGGUUGCCAACCACCUGUGUGAAAGUUGAAUUUUGACUAGACUGGACACAAUGGAGAGGACUUUCAGGAAGAGCAGAGCUAUUGGCUGCACUUAGCAAAGAGGACAAGGACAGCUGGGUUUGUUGAGCCAAUCCAAGCCCUCGGGAAUGAUGAGGCUCCUCUACACCAAGGAAAAGUUACUUCAGAUAAAACACAAAAACAGCAGAAGAAUAGCAUGAACUAGACACUGAAAACAAAAGAGAGAUUGGAAGUCAGGAGGUAGUUUUUGACCACUAAAGUCAACAGAAACUACAAAGUGAGACCAAGACAGUCUCAGAUGGGAUUUGUGACCCAGUGUGUUGGACGAUAAGACGAUGCAGUAAUCCUGUCUGGGUUUAUAUACACAGGAGAGCCACAGACUUCAAGUGGCCCCAGUUCCACUGUGAACAUCUUGUGUACCUCUAUUAUCCACAAACCACUUAUGGUAUUAAAAUACAUUACAGGAAGAAGCCCUUCAUCUAAGGUUUCUAACAGAGCCUUUAAAUGCGUUCUCUUUACUUCUACUGUCCAUUUAAAAUAAAUCAUGUCCAUUUAAAAUAAUUAAAUAAUCUGUAUAUCAAGUAUUUCUGUUCAUUUCAUGGUGUAUCAGUAAAACAGUAAUGUGCCUCUUGCAGGCACACUUGUUUAUUAAUUUUUGCGUGAUAUCUAAAGGAGAAUAAGAUAAAUAAGAACUGUUGUUCUUAUUAUUUAACAACAAUAUGGAAGAGAAAUCCUGAGACCUCAAUAGGAAACAUAUACCAAGCCACCUCUUCCGUGGGGUGACCAGACACAAAACAAAGCCAUAAUCUUCUACAGUCACAGUAGAAAAGAACACUUUCUAAACUCAGAAUGAGGCUUUACAAAGCCUAUAUGCCAAUAGUAGCCUAAGAACCACCUCACACAACUAUUCAUUUCUUCUUAAAGGAAAAAUGGUUAUUGUGAAAAUAUCCAACUACUUCAGUUGAAGUUUUUUACAAGAGAAAAUCCUUUUCAUUUGAAGGAGGAACCACACUUUGAUAUAUGUAUGGAAGAUACUGAGAUAUGUCUUCAACAUUAUCUCAGUGUGAGUAGAGAUGCUGACUCACUGGAGCAUCUCUCCUGAGAGGUAGCUUCUGGCUUCUUUACAGCUAGUAGCAGUGUUAUGCUCUGAAGUGUUAUUACAAUUACAGCACUGAAGGCAUGUCAUGAUAACAAGAGCUAAGAUUUUGUAUGUAUUUAUGAAAUUCUACUUAUCUCAGUGGGUAGUAACAUAUCCUCAGGUACAGAAGAAGGAAUCUUCAAUGCAUUAAUAUUGAUAGCAUUAUUUGUGUCUUAGAAUUAUGAAUGUGGGUCGUUAAAAAAAAAAAAUCUUAGCACUUAAGAAGUUCUAUGUUGCUUCAAAGAUAAUCCUCCAGGGAUAAAUCCUCCUGUCAGCCUCAAAGAGCUUCACAGAGUGCAUAAACAUAAGAGCAGGAGGCUGAAGGGAGAGUGUUGAGGAUGUCGUAUUUACUCUUUGUAACUAUGACUCUUGUCUAAACUGUAGUUGGUUUAUUCAGACUUGGCAUUUUGUUUCAAAGGAUGGAAGAAGUCAAUCCAAGGCUCUGUUCUGCCUGGUUUGGUCAGAGAAAUAGGAGUGCACAUGGCACAUAAGAAGGGAGUCAAAAGAGAUUGCUUGCACUUCUUAUUUCUUCUUUCCUCCCCCCCC
This is a non-coding RNA of Coturnix japonica (Japanese quail), 6454 nucleotides long. Lineage: Eukaryota; Metazoa; Chordata; Aves; Galliformes; Phasianidae. The record is from RefSeq and is a predicted model, not a curated record.